Molecule: ribosomal RNA, 506 nt
Filed under: uncultured bacterium
Lineage: Bacteria
Description: partial 16S ribosomal RNA
Rfam family: Bacterial small subunit ribosomal RNA
Source: RNAcentral
GAUGAACGCUAGCGGCAGGCCUAACACAUGCAAGUCGAGGGGUAACUAGAGUGAUAGCAAUAUUACUUUGGCUAGACCGGCGCACGGGUGCGUAACACGUAUGCAACCUACCUUAUACUGGGGAAUAACUUCGAGAAAUCGGCGCUAAUACCCCAUAACAUUGCGAAGAGGCAUCUCUUUGCAAUUAAAGCUCCGGCGGUAUAAGAUGGGCAUGCGUCCAAUUAGCUAGUUGGUGAGGUAACGGCUCACCAAGGCUACGAUUGGUAGGGGUUCUGAGAGGAUGAUCCCCCACACUGGUACUGAGACACGGACCAGACUCCUACGGGGGGCAGCAGUGAGGAAUAUUGCGCAAUGGACGAAAGUCUGACGCAGCCAUGCCGCGUGCAGGAUGACGGCCCUAUGGGUUGUAAACUGCUUUUGUACGGGAAUAAACCCUUCUACGUGUAGGAGGCUGAAGAUACCGUAAGAAUAAGCACCGGCUAACUCCGUGCCAGCAGCCGCCGCGG